This 201-nucleotide long non-coding RNA is filed under the name Lathyrus oleraceus (garden pea). RNAcentral's name for it is "Pisum sativum (pea) long non-coding RNA (PSAT_LNC015008)". The record is from RNAcentral. Lineage: Eukaryota; Viridiplantae; Streptophyta; Magnoliopsida; Fabales; Fabaceae.
UGAAAAGAAAAAAAGUGUGGAGAUUGAGAAAAAUACGAUUGAUGAAGGAAUGGGGGAGGAAGUGAAAAAGCCUAGAUGGAGGAGUUCUAGAGUUGCAAAGGGAAAGGAGGUAGUGAGCACUACUCCAAUCCAAAAUCUUCCUUAUCCUCAUGCCCCGUCCAAAAGGGAGAAUGAACGGCAUUACGCCCGGUUCAUGGAUAU